UUGAAUAUAAUCUGAUCUUACUCUGCCUAAAUCGUUUCACUUAAAACUUUCCACAAAAUCUCCAGCAGAAAAAGCUUAAACACACACAGAUGUUACCCUAUGUCCGAUAUGUUUUGGUCAAUGAUGUUCAUUCAAGCAUGGGGGACUAAUUCUUUUGUACACCGUGAGAGAUUAUCUCUCUACAAGACAAACCAGCAGAAUGUUCGAGAAUAACUGUUGGAGAUGAGUUUGAAAACUCGAAAUAUCGGCGAAACUAUCUUACAGGUACGCAUUUACUCAAACGCAGAGAGAUGACUGACAUCUAUUCCUGAAAUGGCUGGAACCAAGAAAUUUGAAAGACGGCAUCACAGUUUUCCAUUCACAGAACAUAUUCAGCACAGACUUUCUGAAGCAGAGAUAUCGUAAUAGCAAAUAUUCUGCUCAGUACCACAGAUUUGCUUGUCAGUUGCUUGACCAUAACCGUUUCAGCAUGUCCCUUAGUAGCUGACAAUAUGUGCAUCUCUGAUCAUGAGCAAGAGUAGUUGGGGAGCGUCAUAGCUAUGUGUUGAAUAAAUAUAACAAAAGCAGUUUGAAGGAAAUAUUAGCCAUUUUUCGUACUUUCUAGAAGUAAGCAAAUAAGAAAUAACAAUGCUACCCAAGUACAAAAAUCAUGUUACACAGUGUUAUUAUUAUGGCUCAGUCAGAAGACAAAGAACAACAACCUGGAUUUUUGUAGGACUUCCGUGUCUUAUAGAGGAAUGUUUUGUAGUUCGCUGCUAACAAAUAUUAAAACUUGUGUAAGUAGCUCAGUGGCGAUGUGUAGACAGGUUAGCAUAAAGGGCAGUCUCCUAAGGACUCACCUCCGUGUUGUAUUUGGUACUGUUCUUCCACUUUGAGAACCACUUUCUCCUGUAUCUUUUAACAAGCAAUGGCACUACAUAAGGAAAUGUGCAAUAAGAAGUAGAACAUUCAAACAGCAAGUUAUUACAAGAGUAGAUUCGGAUAUCCUGAUUACUAUUAAUCCCUUCU
Octopus bimaculoides (California two-spot octopus) is the source of this 1008-nucleotide long non-coding RNA. RefSeq lists it as uncharacterized. Lineage: Eukaryota; Metazoa; Mollusca; Cephalopoda; Octopoda; Octopodidae. The record is from RefSeq and is a predicted model, not a curated record.